UACAGAGGUCCCAAGCGUUGUUCGGAUUCACUGGGCGUAAAGGGUGCGUAGGUGGCCUGUUAAGUUUGAUGUGAAAGCUCAGGGCUUAACCCUGAAAUGGCAUUGAAUACUAGCGUGCUGGAGGUUUGGAGGGGGGACUGGAAUUCUCGGUGUAGCAGUGAAAUGCGUAGAUAUCGAGAGGAACACCAGUGGCGAAGGCGAGUCCCUGGACAACACCUGACACUGAGGCACGAAAGCCGGGGGAGCAAACAGG
Molecule: ribosomal RNA, 253 nt
Filed under: uncultured bacterium
Lineage: Bacteria
Description: partial 16S ribosomal RNA
Rfam family: Bacterial small subunit ribosomal RNA
Source: RNAcentral